RNAcentral lists this transfer RNA (76 nucleotides) under Clostridia bacterium. Its description in RNAcentral is "tRNA-Thr". It matches the Rfam family "tRNA". From Rfam's summary of the family: Transfer RNA (tRNA) molecules are approximately 80 nucleotides in length. Their secondary structure includes four short double-helical elements and three loops (D, anti-codon, and T loops). The record is from RNAcentral. Lineage: Bacteria; Bacillati; Bacillota; Clostridia.
GCUGGUAUAGCUCAGUCGGUAGAGCACUUCACUCGUAAUGAAGGGGUCGUGCGUUCAAGUCGCAUUACCAGCUCCA